UCUCUUGUUUUUCCAACAUCCAUUACACAUAAAAUGAAAAACUUAGAAAUGAAACCAUAAACACAAACACAUUCUCUCCUUUUCACCUCACCUUUCAUGUAUUUUUCUACAUAAACACAAACACAUUCUCUCCUUCUCACCUCAUCUUUCAUGUAUUUUUCAACUUGCUCACCGUUAAAAAAGAAAAGAGUGUACGGUAUUUUGAGACAUUACAUACAAAGGUGGUGGAUAAAUAUAUAUCAAUCUAAUAGAAAGCACACGUCAGAUUUAUUUCUGCAAGAUAUUUACAAUAAUCUUAUUCAAACUGACUCGUAAAUCGUUGUUAAGGGAGAUAUGACUACGUAUGAUUGGAGAAAGACUGAUCACCUAAAUCCUAUUAGAAGUCAAGGCACUAGGAGAUAUAUUUAAUUAUUUAAUAAAAUCUGAUGAAGAAGAUCAGGACGUUAUGUGUCUGACACAAUUGUCUGGGUGAAGGAGAAUGGUUGUUUAUUAGAAUGUCCAUAUGUGGCAACAUUUAUGCCAGCUACGCGGACAAUGAGGAUAUCGGUCAAAGAAAAAAACAAACUCUUACACAAGUGAUUAGAAUUGGCGGUUACCAGAUAUGGAUAAAUUGGAGGGGAUGGUAUAUACUCUGGUCAACAGAUUUUAAUGUUGAUCAAGAACAAAGACAUGGAGUGAUUAUUGUGGGAUACGGACAACAAAUAGAAAAUAACUGAGGAAUUCUCAUGGAGACAAAUGGGGUGAUCAAUGUUACUUCAAAUUUGAAACAAGACGGUGUCUAGAUUAGAAAAUUUUCUCUUAUUUAUUUCAAAUUUGAUCAAGGUUAUUUCAAAUUUGAAACAAGACGGUGAGCAAGGUUAUUUCAAUUUCUCUUAGUUGAGUGAGUUUGGAUCAUCUCGGGCAUAGAGAAACAAGAGGGUGUCUAGAUUAGAAAACUUAACUUCUCUCUUUUAACCUAGCAUAUAUUCUUCUUUUUCUUUUUUAAGUUAUGCAUCUAUUCGUCUUUUUUUUUUUGUAGCUAAUGCUGUAAUAAUUGGAACUGAAACUUUGUGGCUAAUGCUAUGUUAAUUUGAACUGAAA
Molecule: long non-coding RNA, 1080 nt
Organism: Cicer arietinum (chickpea)
Lineage: Eukaryota; Viridiplantae; Streptophyta; Magnoliopsida; Fabales; Fabaceae
Source: RefSeq, a predicted model, not a curated record